GGAAAGUCGUAACAAGGUCUCCGUUGGUGAACCAGCGGAGGGAUCAUUACAGGACUCGCAAGACUCCUACAACCCUGUGAACUUAACUAUAAGCACGUUGCUUCGGCGGGUGUCUCGGAGGGGGUUCUCCCUCCCCGAGACGCUAAACCCGCCGGCAGCCUACUAUACUCUGUCUCUUUGCGUUGGCAUCUCGAGUACAAUCAAACAAGUUAAAACUUUCAACAACGGAUCUCUUGGUUCUG
RNAcentral lists this unclassified non-coding RNA (242 nucleotides) under plant metagenome. RNAcentral describes it as "partial contains small subunit ribosomal RNA, internal transcribed spacer 1, and 5.8S ribosomal RNA". The stretch from base 1 to 49 matches the Rfam family "Eukaryotic small subunit ribosomal RNA", at positions 1783 to 1831 of the family's 1831-position model. The record is from RNAcentral.